GAGAUGGAUUGGUGCCUUCGGGAACUGUGAGACAGGUGCUGCAUGGCUGUCGUCAGCUCGUGUUGUGAAAUGUUGGGUUAAGUCCCGCAACGAGCGCAACCCUUAUCCUUUGUUGCCAGCGAUUAGGUCGGGAACUCAAAGGAGACUGCCAGUGAUAAACUGGAGGAAGGUGGGGAUGACGUCAAGUCAUCAUGGCCCUUACGACCAGGGCUACACACGUGCUACAAUGGCGCAUACAAAGAGAAGCGACCUCGCGAGAGCAAGCGGACCUCAUAAAGUGCGUCGUAGUCCGGAUUGGAGUCUGCAACUCGACUCCAUGAAGUCGGAAUCGCUAGUAAUCGUGGAUCAGAAUGCCACGGUGAAUACGUUCCCGGGCCUUGUACACACCGCCCGUCACACCAUGGGAGUGGGUUGCAAAAGAAGUAGGUAGCUUAACCUUCGGGAGGGCGCUUACCACUUUGUGAUUCAUGACUGGGGUGAAGUCGUAACAAGGUAACCGUAGGGGAACCUGCGGUUGGA
RNAcentral lists this ribosomal RNA (519 nucleotides) under Salmonella enterica. RNAcentral describes it as "bacterial SSU rRNA". It matches the Rfam family "Bacterial small subunit ribosomal RNA", at positions 1003 to 1522 of the family's 1533-position model. The record is from RNAcentral. RNAcentral also lists the same sequence under 3 other names. Lineage: Bacteria; Pseudomonadati; Pseudomonadota; Gammaproteobacteria; Enterobacterales; Enterobacteriaceae.